AAUGAUUGAAUACAGUUAAUGUGACACUUUAUUGAAACCCAAUCCCCGAAUCAGAGGCCCAAUCUGGCCGGUUAAAAAACUCAAGAUGGUAAUAAAAUUGACAUUGAAAUACAGAUCGAUUUAGCGUGAAUGGUCGAUACAUUUGGCGUUCGACAAUUACUAUACCCGAAUUCUGUGAUAAAAUAAAUGAAGUUAAAGCAUUUUGAUUGGUUUGAAAAGCGAAAUACGAAGCAAACGUGUGAAUUCACCGCAUACUUACGCACCAAAUGCAUGUGCAUACAUAAAUACAUUGAUAUACGAAUGAUAUCAAAUGACGCUUGUUGAAUUCGUGUUUAGCCUCUCGAUCUUGUUAUAAUUCCUCCAGCGGCGGUUUCAUUUAACUUCAUCGGUUGAGCCAACGUAUUCCUUUGUCCACCAGGAGGGUAAAAGCGCUUGACCACGGUAGAGUUAUACUUGAAUAGACUGCGUCUCACUGAAUCACACAUCGAUACUUGAGCCAACGUAUUCCUUUGUCCACCAGAAGAGUAAAAGCGCCUGCCGAGUUAUAUUUGAAUAAACAUCGUCUCUCUGAAUCAUACAUCAAUACAUCAGCCAAGGUAUUCCUUUGUCCACCAAAAGAGUAAAAACGGUUGCCCGCGGCAGAGUUAUAUUUUACUGAUAAACUGCGUCUCAAUGAAUUUCAUAUACGUCGAUACUUGAGCCAACGUAUUCCUUUGUCCACCAGAAGAGUAAAAGUGCUUGCCCGCAGCAGAGCUAUAUUUGAAUAAACUGCGUAGCACUGAAUAAUACUGUGUUACUGACCGUUGUUUUAUAUCCACGAUAUAUCUUUUCCAAAAGUAUAAUUUCGAAGUACUUUGCCGCAGAGGUCAUACAAAUUUGCUUGCAAGUGACACAAUGAGGCUUACUGAUCCAAGCAGGAAACUAUUCAGACGAAGAGGUGAAACCUGAUUGGUCUAUUUUCCCGCACAUGCAUGGGAAGAGAUUUGACAAUGGUUUGUUGUUAAUUCAGCCUUGCGCUUUGCACGUGUAUGAUCACAUGAUUGACAGAUUGACCUUUGUACCAGACCUUUGUACUCCAGGAGACUUUGCACAACUUUACUCUUGUCCUAACGCUUGUUUCAUUAACUUAAGUUUAUAAUGCUAUGGGCAUGUAUAAA
Non-coding RNA from Paramuricea clavata, 1157 nucleotides. Lineage: Eukaryota; Metazoa; Cnidaria; Anthozoa; Malacalcyonacea; Plexauridae. The record is from the annotation of a GenBank genome assembly.